RNA transcript from Vespa mandarinia (Asian giant hornet), 878 nucleotides. It is a transcript of the gene named type-1 angiotensin II receptor-associated protein, with no coding region annotated. The record is from RefSeq and is a predicted model, not a curated record. Lineage: Eukaryota; Metazoa; Arthropoda; Insecta; Hymenoptera; Vespidae.
UAAACGUAAAAGGCGUUUACAUACGCAAUAUCUAAUACUGUGUAUAUCAUUAUGAAGUGCUAAUUCGAAAGGAAAGAGACAAAGCAGUAGAGUGACAGGUACGAAAGAACGUUGUAUUAUUGAACGAUCCAUAAGAAGAAAUAAGAAAGCAAUUGUUUUACGAGAAACACGUAGACUUUAAUUGCAUAAAAAUGCCGAAUUUAUCUAGUAUAUCUAGCUAUCCAUUAAAGGUAAUUUUUGCAAUUCAUCUGGUUCUUGUAACAUGGGGUAUUCAAGGAUGUUGGUGCCCAAAAUCUGCAAUGAUGUACAAUUUACUAUUUUUCAUUUGCUUACUCUGGGCUGUGCAUAACAUUGAAUCAGAUGAACCAUUACAAUUUGCUCUCUUCAUAAACGUUUUAUCAAUAUUUUUUGACAUAGUGACUUUGUCUGUUUACUAUCCAAUCGGUCUAGCAUAUGCGUCUGAUAAGUUUAGUGCAGCGUUUAUGAUAAUAAACCUGGUCGUGCGUGUUGUCACGAGUAUAUAUCUAUUGCGGAUAGGACAAGCAAGAGGUGGAAGUCUUGCUACGAUGUUUACACCCUGUCCUGCCAUGGGUCAGUAGUCCAUAGGAUACAGAUGUGCCUUGCUAGCCUUGUAUUGCUUCUACAAUUUUCUGCUUUACGUAUAACUCGACAGGAUUACGAGGACAUAUCCCAUCCGAUACCUCAAAAUUCUGAUUUCGUUGGAAUUUAAGUUAUUUUGAUGGUAUAUAUUGUAAAACUUAUAAUGUUCGAUCUUGAAUUUGUUUUUUUGUGGGCGGAUCAUUUAACAGAAGCUUAUAUGUACAAUGAUAUAAAUCUCACAUGAUAUAUUUUCAUUAUUUCUUAUAUUCCAAAACAAC